RNAcentral lists this ribosomal RNA (488 nucleotides) under uncultured bacterium. RNAcentral's name for it is "bacterial SSU rRNA". It matches the Rfam family "Bacterial small subunit ribosomal RNA", at positions 28 to 507 of the family's 1533-position model. The record is from RNAcentral.
GAUGAACGCUAGCGGGAGGCUUAACACAUGCAAGUCGAGGGGCAGCAUAGGGUAGCAAUACUCUGAUGGCGACCGGCAAACGGGUGAGUAACGCGUAUGCAACCUACCCUGUACGAGGGGGAUAACCCGGAGAAAUUCGGACUAAUAUCCCGUAAUAAUAUCCGGAGGCAUCUUUGGAUAUUUAAAGUUCCGACGGUACGGGAUGGGCAUGCGUAACAUUAACUGGUUGGUAAGGUAACGGCUUACCAAGGCUAUGAUGUUUAGGGGUCCUGAGAGGGUGGUCCCCCACACUGGUACUGAGACACGGACCAGACUCCUACGGGAGGCAGCAGUGAGGAAUAUUGGUCAAUGGGCGCAAGCCUGAACCAGCCAUCCCGCGUGCAGGAAGACGGCCCUAUGGGUUGUAAACUGCUUUUCCAGGGAGAGAAACUUACGCACGUGUUGCGUGACUGACGGUACCCUGGGAAUAAGCAUCGGCUAACUCCGUG